GCCUUGAGAAAGCCAGAGAGGGUCUUGAACGAGCUCAUGGAAAGGACUCUUCUCAUGUUAGACUCCUUCAGGCAGAUAUUUGAUACUGGAGCUGCUGGAAGGGGUGGCGGCGUAUCACAGUGGUCAGGUUGAUAAGUCAAUGACGGUGUUGACUUCUGCACAAGAGAAGUUCACCCAGGUGCUGGAUGAAUUUUUGGUUGUGGAUUCCAGCUUCAGGUGCUGGAUGAAUCUCUCUUUCUUGUGAUGAUCAUGGGCUUCAGAGAA
Molecule: long non-coding RNA, 264 nt
Filed under: Rosa chinensis
Lineage: Eukaryota; Viridiplantae; Streptophyta; Magnoliopsida; Rosales; Rosaceae
Description: sRNA RchiOBHm_Chr2g0147331
Source: RNAcentral